RNAcentral lists this ribosomal RNA (577 nucleotides) under uncultured bacterium. Its description in RNAcentral is "bacterial SSU rRNA". It matches the Rfam family "Bacterial small subunit ribosomal RNA", at positions 900 to 1481 of the family's 1533-position model. The record is from RNAcentral.
CUCAAAGGAAUUGACGGGGACCCGCACAANCGGUGGAGCAUGUGGUUUAAUUCGACGAUACACGAAGAACCUUACCUGGACUUGACAUAGUAAGAACUUUCUAGAGAUAGAUUGGUGUCUGCUUGCAGAAACUUAUAUACAGGUGCUGCACGGCUGUCGUCAGCUCGUGUCGUGAGAUGUUGGGUUAAGUCCCGCAACGAGCGCAACCCUCGUCAUUAGUUGCUAACAGUUCGGCUGANAACUCUAAUGAGACUGCCUACGCAAGUAGGAGGAAGGUGAGGACGACGUCAANUCAUCAUGGCCCUUACGUCCAGAGUCUACACACGUGCUACAAUGGGAUAUACAAAGAGCCGCAAUACGGUGACGUGGAGCAAAUCUCAAAAAUAUCUCCCAGUUCGGAUUGUAGUCUGCAACUCGACUACAUGAAGUUGGAAUCGCUAGUAAUCGUAGAUCAGCUAUGCUACGGUGAAUACGUUCCGGGUCUUGUACUCACCGACCGUCACACCAUGGGAGUUGAACUCAUUCGAACCGGGGAUGCUAAAAUAGCUACCUUCACCGGGGAUUCAGCGACUGNGGG